RNAcentral lists this unclassified non-coding RNA (213 nucleotides) under Taphrina padi. Its description in RNAcentral is "partial internal transcribed spacer 2". Lineage: Eukaryota; Fungi; Ascomycota; Taphrinomycetes; Taphrinales; Taphrinaceae. The record is from RNAcentral.
AUCUCUCACAAAACCAUUUGGUUUCAAACCAUUUGGUUUCUGUCGAAGUUGGGAUGUGCGAAUCCUUUGGGAAUCGCUCUCCUUAAAUGUAUUGGUGCGGCCCGCCGCCCGGUUACACAACGUUCUAGGUUCGUCCAACUCGUUGCUCUCCGGUGCAAUCAUGGUGCAGCACCUUAAGCCCGCCUUGUGCCUCGAGCUCUUGGCUACUUCAUU